RNAcentral lists this ribosomal RNA (497 nucleotides) under uncultured bacterium. RNAcentral's name for it is "partial 16S ribosomal RNA". It matches the Rfam family "Bacterial small subunit ribosomal RNA", at positions 28 to 507 of the family's 1533-position model. The record is from RNAcentral.
GAUGAACGCUGGCGGCGUGCCUAAUUCAUGCAAGUCGAGCGAACAGACGAGGAGCUUGCUCCUCUGACUUUAGCGGCGGACGGGUGAGUAACACGUGGGUAACCUACCUAUAAGACUGGGAUAACUUCGGGAAACCGGAGCUAAUACCGGAUAAUAUAUUGAACCGGAUGGUUCAAUAGUGAAAGACGGUUUUGCUGUCACUUAUAGAUGGAUCCGCGCCGCAUUAGCUAGUUGGUAAGGUAACGGCUUACCAAGGCAACGAUGCGUAGGCGACCUGAGAGGGUGAUCGCCCACACUGGAACUGAGACACGGACAAUGCUCCUACGGGAGGCAGCAGUAGGGAACCUUACGCAAUGGGCGAAAGCCUGACGGAGUGGCGCCGAGUGAGUGAUGAAGAUCACCGGAUCGUAAAGCUCUGUUAUUAGGGAAGAACAAAUGUCUAAGUAAAUAUGCACGUCUUGACGGUACCUAAACAGAAAGCCCCGGCUAACUACGUG